AAUAGAAGAGAAAGAAGAAGGAGAAGAAGGUGACGAAGAGGAGAAGGAUGGGGCUUCCUUGAGGGCUGUUUGGGGCUGAUCAUAGGUUGUGCAAGCUGCUUCUACAACUGCUGCUGGACCAUCUUCUUUUGCGAUUAGUUUUCGUGCAAGCAAAGGCCACAUGUUCCUACCAUCUUGCUACUGCAAAGGGCUGCUACUACAUGCAAGCUAUAGGGGGUACAAUUGUUGUACAAAGAAGGUCGUCGUUGCUCAAAUUUAGAAUUCAGUUGUUGUACUGCUGCUAAUCAUGAUUGAGGAUGGUGAUUCAUGCAUAUGGAGCUUAGUACAAGUGUUGUCCAGAAGUUCAAAUGCUGCUGUGAUGGAAAUUGCUGCUAACAAGGGCUGUCCAAACUAGGGAAUUGCUGCUGGAACCUCCGUGCUGCUAUACACACACUUAAGAAGACACCGAGAACUGGGAACCUUGGACGGCAUGCCUGGGAAUUGGCUGAAACUCAGUCACAGGGACUAAUGUAUUUCAUGGUAUCGUAUUUAAUUGGUGUUAAUUAGAUGUUGGAACCGGAGUUGAAGCGGACAUGAGUUCGAGAAAAGUUGUGAGGCUGUGUCGACGAGACAUUGUGGAAUUGACAAUUGUUCCCUUCUGAUGUUAUGGUUUAUAUUUUCAUUGAAUGUAUGAUGUAAUUAUUUGUGUAAUUGUGGGUUAAUUCAAAUUGGACUUGUAAUAUUGUAAUUAUCCUUGUAGACAGAUAACCAUUAGUAGUAUAUUGCUAUGAAUUCUAUA
Molecule: long non-coding RNA, 778 nt
Organism: Macadamia integrifolia
Lineage: Eukaryota; Viridiplantae; Streptophyta; Magnoliopsida; Proteales; Proteaceae
Exons: 3
Source: RefSeq, a predicted model, not a curated record